ACGGUUAUAAAUCAACAUAUUGAUUUAUAAGCAUGGAAAUCCCCGAGUGAAACAACGAAUUGCUGUGUAGUCUUUGCCCAUCUCCCACGAUGGGCUUUUUUUUAA
This 105-nucleotide non-coding RNA is filed under the name Escherichia coli. RNAcentral describes it as "antisense sRNA RprA". It matches the Rfam family "RprA RNA". Rfam says of the family: Translational regulation of the stationary phase sigma factor RpoS is mediated by the formation of a double-stranded RNA stem-loop structure in the upstream region of the rpoS messenger RNA, occluding the translation initiation site. Clones carrying rprA (RpoS regulator RNA A) increased the translation of RpoS. Lineage: Bacteria; Pseudomonadati; Pseudomonadota; Gammaproteobacteria; Enterobacterales; Enterobacteriaceae. The record is from RNAcentral.